CUGCCCAAUGAGUAUUUUUAAUGGCCGCAGUAUUUUAACUGUGCAAAGGUAGCAUAAUAAUUAGUUUUUUAAUUGAAAGCUGGAAUGAAUGAUUGGACGAGAUAGUUAGUUUUUUAAGUUUAAAUUGUUAGAAUUUAAUUUUUAAGUAAAAAAGCUUAAAUAUUUUAUAAAGACAAGAAGACCCUAUAGAGUUUAAUAAUUAUUUAUAAUAAGUUUAUAUUUAGAAGAGAUAAUUAUAUAUAAAAAUUUAUUUGAUUGGGGUGAUUUAAAAAUUUAUUAAACUUUUUAUUUAUAAUAACAUUAAUUUAUGAGUUUUUGAUCCAUUAGUUUUGAUAAAAAGAUUAAAUUACCUUAGGGAUAACAGCGUAAUUUUUUUGGAGAGUUCUUAUUGAUAAAAAAGAUUGCGACCUCGAUGUUGGAUUAAGAUAAAAAUUUAAUGUAGAAGUUAAAUAAUUAAGUCUGUUCGACUUUUAAAAUCUUACAUGAUC
RNAcentral lists this ribosomal RNA (488 nucleotides) under Atenisodus sp. QH5. RNAcentral describes it as "partial large subunit ribosomal RNA". The stretch from base 357 to 488 matches the Rfam family "Archaeal large subunit ribosomal RNA", at positions 2542 to 2674 of the family's 2987-position model. Lineage: Eukaryota; Metazoa; Arthropoda; Insecta; Coleoptera; Staphylinidae. The record is from RNAcentral.